This 396-nucleotide ribosomal RNA is filed under the name uncultured bacterium. RNAcentral describes it as "partial 16S ribosomal RNA". It matches the Rfam family "Bacterial small subunit ribosomal RNA", at positions 523 to 918 of the family's 1533-position model. The record is from RNAcentral.
AUACGGAGGGUCCGAGCGUUAAUCGGAAUUACUGGGCGUAAAGCGCGCGUAGGUGGUUCAGUCAGUCAGAUGUGAAAGCCCCGGGCUCAACCUGGGAACUGCACCUGAUACUGCUGAGCUAGAGUACGGUAGAGGGCAGUGGAAUUUCCGGUGUAGCGGUGAAAUGCGUAGAGAUCGGAAGGAACACCAGUGGCGAAGGCGACUGCCUGGACUGAUACUGACACUGAGGUGCUAAAGCGUGGGUAGCAAACAGGAUUAGAAACCCUGGUAGUCCACGCCGUAAACGAUGUCAACUAGCCGGUGGGGGACUUGAUCCUUUAGUGGCGAAGCUAACGCGAUAAGUUGACCGCCUGGGGAGUACGGCCGCAAGGUUAAAACUCAAAUGAAUUGACGGGG